Periophthalmus magnuspinnatus is the source of this 375-nucleotide long non-coding RNA. RefSeq lists it as uncharacterized. Lineage: Eukaryota; Metazoa; Chordata; Actinopteri; Gobiiformes; Gobiidae. The record is from RefSeq and is a predicted model, not a curated record. The transcript has 4 exons.
UUCUCUCAGACAGAGCUGGUUACCACAGUGACAGACACAGCUACAGACUCAGGAGCAGCAGCUGUAACCGAUGUGCCCCUCACAAACACACAGCCUGGUCCAGACCCAGGUCCAGCCACAGAAUCGUACUACUCUCAGGGUCCUGAAGGUUCAGAAAAUGUGGAACUGGAGGAUUCCUGCUGAUUUUCACAUCAAACCAAAAGUCCACUUCCUGAGAUUCCGUUUCCACUGCACCAGCCAAUCACAGAGCCCACUGCGACCAGCUGGUCAAUCCCAGAAGACCACACUGUAACUGUGCAAUUUCAAAACACUGUGCACACACCUUGCCAGUCACAGAUGACAACACUGUAACUGUGGAAUUUCAAAACACUGUGC